Daphnia pulex (common water flea) is the source of this 731-nucleotide long non-coding RNA. RefSeq lists it as uncharacterized. The record is from RefSeq and is a predicted model, not a curated record. Lineage: Eukaryota; Metazoa; Arthropoda; Branchiopoda; Diplostraca; Daphniidae. The transcript is spliced from 3 exons.
CUUGCCCAUUCCUCCUUACUAAUGUUCAAGAUGGCAGCUAGUGGCCGGCGUCCUCUAUGGCAACUCUUGGGUUUUAACUUUGCCAGAAUUAUUUUGCCUAUAGACUGCCAUGAGAAAUUUUCCCAAAAUUACUGGCAUGCAUGCAGAUUCAACCGUCAGGUGAAGUUCGACAUUUGUCUUGUUUUGGAGCAGCCAGCUGGUGAUGUGAUUAAUGGAGCCAUUCAUAUACUCCUCGUCAGAUCCAACUUUUUGCUCCCAUUGCGGAGAUAAUGGUGCCCACUCAGGAGAUUUUGAUGACCACAACAUAAGCUCCAAUUUACGAUGAUCAAAGGAAAGGUUGAUUUCAGGCCUCCGCCGCUGUUUCAUGGUUUGGACCCAUUGGUGGAAGCUGACAAGAGAUAUAGCUGAAAUUUCAGCAAUGCAGGUGUUGCAGCUGCUUGGUCUGAAAGGAGCUGUUGUGUUUGUUGCUGUCAGAAGAUUAAUAGUAGCUUGCAUUACAUUUUUCUCAUUGAGUUUGAAAUUUUGGUCUGUUAUAAGUUGAAAAUCUAUGUUUAUAUGGUAUGAAGAGAUUGUCUAUUCUGCUAACAGAUCAAGGGGAUUCAACAUUAUCGAGCGACAGAUAAAAUUGUAUAGUAGUUAUUGUUCAUAUUUGAAUUCUGCUUUGGAAAGUCAUUAUUUAUGACAAUGCUAUUUUUAAAUAAUGUAAUAAACAAACUAAAUUGAUACGUGAA